AUUGAACGCUGGCGGCAUGCUUUACACAUGCAAGUCGAACGGUAACAGGUUAAGCUGACGAGUGGCGAACGGGUGAGUAAUGCAUCGGAACGUGCCCGAUCGUGGGGGAUAACGCAGCGAAAGCUGCGCUAAUACCGCAUACGAUCUGAGGAUGAGAGCGGGGGACCGUAAGGCCUCGCGCGAUCGGAGCGGCCGAUGUCAGAUUAGGUAGUUGGUGGGGUAAAGGCUCACCAAGCCAACGAUCUGUAGCUGGUCUGAGAGGACGACCAGCCACACUGGGACUGAGACACGGCCCAGACUCCUACGGGAGGCAGCAGUGGGGAAUUUUGGACAAUGGGCGAAAGCCUGAUCCAGCAAUGCCGCGUGCAGGAAGAAGGCCUUCGGGUUGUAAACUGCUUUUGUACGGAGCGAAAAGGUCUCCUCUAAUACAGGGGGCUCAUGACGGUACCGUAAGAAUAAGCACCGGCUAACUACGUGCCAGCAGCCGCGGUAA
This 493-nucleotide ribosomal RNA is filed under the name uncultured bacterium. RNAcentral describes it as "partial 16S ribosomal RNA". It matches the Rfam family "Bacterial small subunit ribosomal RNA", at positions 29 to 523 of the family's 1533-position model. The record is from RNAcentral.